RNAcentral lists this ribosomal RNA (253 nucleotides) under uncultured bacterium. RNAcentral describes it as "partial 16S ribosomal RNA". It matches the Rfam family "Bacterial small subunit ribosomal RNA", at positions 524 to 776 of the family's 1533-position model. The record is from RNAcentral.
UACAGAGGUCUCAAGCGUUUUUCGGAUUCAUUGGGCGUAAAGGGUGCGUAGGUGGCGGGGUAAGUCUGGUGUGAAAUCUCGGGGCUCAACCCCGAAACUGCACUGGAUACUGCCUUGCUCGAGUACUGGAGAGGAGAUUGGAAUUUACGGUGUAGCAGUGAAAUGCGUAGAUAUCGUAAGGAAGACCAGUGGCGAAGGCGAAUCUCUGGACAGUUACUGACACUGAGGCACGAAGGCCAGGGGAGCAAACGGG